GACGAACGCUGGCGGCGUGCUUAACACAUGCAAGUCGAACGGAAAGGCCCUGCUUUUGUGGGGUGCUCGAGUGGCGAACGGGUGAGUAACACGUGAGUAACCUGCCCUUGACUUUGGGACAACUUCAGGAAACUGGGGCUAAUACCGGAUAGGAGCUCCUGCUGCAUGGUGGGGGUUGGAAAGUUUCGGCGGUUGGGGAUGGACUCGCGGCUUAUCAGCUUGUUGGUGGGGUAGUGGCUUACCAAGGCUUUGACGGGUAGCCGGCCUGAGAGGGUGACCGGCCACAUUGGGACUGAGAUACGGCCCAGACUCCUACGGGAGGCAGCAGUGGGGAAUAUUGCACAAUGGGCGGAAGCCUGAUGCAGCAACGCCGCGUGCGGGAUGACGGCCUUCGGGUUGUAAACCGCUUUCGCCUGUGACGAAGCGUGAGUGACGGUAAUGGGUAAAUAAGCACCGGCUAACUACGUG
This 468-nucleotide ribosomal RNA is filed under the name uncultured bacterium. RNAcentral describes it as "partial 16S ribosomal RNA". It matches the Rfam family "Bacterial small subunit ribosomal RNA", at positions 28 to 507 of the family's 1533-position model. The record is from RNAcentral.